Molecule: ribosomal RNA, 478 nt
Filed under: uncultured bacterium
Lineage: Bacteria
Description: SSU rRNA
Rfam family: Bacterial small subunit ribosomal RNA
Source: RNAcentral
AGAACGAACGUUGGCGGCGUGGAUUAGGCAUGCAAGUCGAACGAAUCCCGGUAGCAAUAUCGGGGGAAGUGGCGAAAGGGGCAGUAAGGCAUGGGUAACCUACCCUGGGGACUGGGAUAGCCUUUCUAACGAGAGGGUAAUACCGGGCGAUGUAACGAGAGGGCAUCUUCUUGUUACGAGAUGAAUUUCGCCUCGGGAGGGGCUCAUGUAGUAUUAGCUAGUUGGUAGGGUAACGGCCUACCAAGGCUGAGAUGCUUAGCGGGUGUGAGAGCACGACCCGCGCCACUGGCACUGAGACACUGGCCAGACUCCUACGGGAGGCUGCAGUCGAGGAUCUUCGGCAAUGGGCGCAAGCCUGACCGAGCGACGCCGCGUGGACGACGAAGGCCUUCGGGUUGUAAAGUCCUUUAGUGGGGAGAAAGCCGUAAGGUUGAUCUAUCCCAAGAAUAAGCACGGCUAAGUUCGUGCCAGCAGCCGC